UGGGGAAUAUUGCACAAUGGGCGCAAGCCUGAUGCAGCCAUGCCGCGUGUGUGAAGAAGGCCUUCGGGUUGUAAAGCACUUUCAGCGGGGAGGAAGGCGAUAAGGUUAAUAACCUUGUCGAUUGACGUUACCCGCAGAAGAAGCACCGGCUAACUCCGUGCCAGCAGCCGCGGUAAUACGGAGGGUGCAAGCGUUAAUCGGAAUUACUGGGCGUAAAGCGCACGCAGGCGGUCUGUCAAGUCGGAUGUGAAAUCCCCGGGCUCAACCUGGGAACUGCAUUCGAAACUGGCAGGCUAGAGACUUGUAGAGGGGGGUGUAAUUCCAGGUGUAGCGGUGAAAUGCGUAGAGAUCUGGACGAAUACCGGUGGCGAGGACGGACCCCUAGACAAAGACUGACGCUCAGGUGCGAAAGCGUGGGGAGCAAACAGG
RNAcentral lists this ribosomal RNA (429 nucleotides) under Chloroflexota bacterium. RNAcentral describes it as "Chloroflexi bacterium partial 16S ribosomal RNA". It matches the Rfam family "Bacterial small subunit ribosomal RNA", at positions 355 to 776 of the family's 1533-position model. The record is from RNAcentral. Lineage: Bacteria; Bacillati; Chloroflexota.